This is a long non-coding RNA of Ananas comosus (pineapple), 471 nucleotides long. RefSeq lists it as uncharacterized. Lineage: Eukaryota; Viridiplantae; Streptophyta; Magnoliopsida; Poales; Bromeliaceae. The transcript is spliced from 2 exons. The record is from RefSeq and is a predicted model, not a curated record.
CGUCUCUUCAAUUAGACCCACGCUAGGGUUGCUCGCCGCAAACCCUAAACCCUAAAAAUCUCUCGAUCUCGCUCUCGCUCUCCCCCUCUUUCUCCCCUUCCGCCUCUUCGAUCUCGAUGAUUCCGAUGGUUCGUCCACCAUCGCAGAUCUUCACAAUCUCGAAGGAAUCUCGAAGGCUUAGCUUGAUUGAGGCCCAUUUGAUAAAGUCGGGAUAAAAGUAUAUGCAGAUAAAUUUCUGCAUUCUCUGAUGAGAUUAUAAAAAAUAUAUCGUAACUGACGCAUCUAUAAUAUUACAUACAAAAAUAAAUAAAAUAUUUUAACCGAUUCAUCGCGAUAUAUAAAAUACGUACAAACAUUUUUAUCGCACAAUAUGUAAUAUUUCGGCGGUGGCAAACGAAAUCUAACACACAUGGAAAUUUACUAUACUAUACACUGAAAAAAAAAAAAAAGCUUUGUAAGCAAUGCAUGGCA